Molecule: transfer RNA, 67 nt
Filed under: Candidatus Enterousia avistercoris
Lineage: Bacteria; Pseudomonadati; Pseudomonadota; Alphaproteobacteria
Also listed under: 2 other names
Rfam family: tRNA
About the family: Transfer RNA (tRNA) molecules are approximately 80 nucleotides in length. Their secondary structure includes four short double-helical elements and three loops (D, anti-codon, and T loops).
Source: RNAcentral
GGAUUAGCUCAGCUGGUAGAGCAUCUGAUUUGUAAUCAGAGGGUCGUUGGUUCAAGUCCGACAUCCG